GCCUCCCGACAGGCCUGUGUGGCCGGUGGCGGGCGGGCCGUUACCUCCCGCGCAUGCUCUAUGGGGUAGAGACGCUAGGCCGGCACUGCCUAGGUGGGCCGGGCGGUGCGAGGGUCGCCUUUCAGCCUUUACCUCUACCCACUGAAAUGGAGUAGGUCGGUGAGCGCCGAUCUGCUGGAGAAUCUCAUUAUCCCAUCGGCGCUCUGCCUGCUCCUGGCCUCCAAGCCUCUGAAGCCCCUCGGGUUUCAGCUGCCGGCUACCCUCGAGCCCGUGGUGCCCACGAGAGAGGCGACUUUACGUCAGCGGCCCUGGGCUGAGAUUUGAGAACGCGACCAAGUGGAGAAUGUUGGAGCCAGAUUUUAAAAUCCUUGUCUUCCUUCUGCGUGCUACUUGAUCUAAAUGAGAUACGGCAAAGUCACAGAACCUGUUUUUAUGUUUUUGCCUGAUUCAUACGGGCUUCUCCGGUGAAGAUGGGCCUGAAGUAACGCUUGGGUUGCUUCUGACGUUAUAACUCAUCCUGUAGCUGCAGCAACCGUGGUCCUUGCAACCUCAUAAAAAUGUUGCCAGCAUUGUUUCGAUAGUGCUGCUUAAUUCUUGGAAGGCCUCUUUGCUUUCUUCCCUGAGGUUCUUCGGACUUCACACAUUCCAGCAGUAGCUCUCUCAGCUCCUGUCCUGCACAGCUUUGAAGUGCUGGUGAUGUCAUUGAACUCUUAAGUGCAAGAUGAAACAAGUCUUUCUGGGGUUCUAAGUAGGACACAGCCCUGGUGAUGGCUUUCUGAGGAUGACACGAUGGAGGCUUCUCCAAUAGCUCUAAAACUGCGGUGUGGAAAACAUUCGGCAGCCUCAAAGAGCGGUCUUGUUGACCCCAACUAUAUCAUUUUUCAUCAAAAUCAUUCUUGUAAAGAAUGACCAGGCAACACUCUUUGAAAAUUGGAGGCCAUUUGCAGCUGCUCUCUGUUGAGGAAAGUGAAUAAUAGGGUGCCCUCAAGGAAUUGCAAAGGUAUCACUCAACAGAAACUUUCGUGUCUGAAGAAAACUAGAUCAUUUUAUCAUGGUAGGCAUGCUGAUAUGUUUGCUUUAAUAAAAUGCCAUAUUUCUGCCUUUAAUCUCUUGUCAACCCGCUAUUAAAAAGCCCCAAAGUGCAUGUGUGCAGCGCAUGUAAACACUUGUGGUUUUGAGGUUACCACAGAACAUACUAAUAAAGCAUGUAAUUUGUGUUUUGUGCA
This 1226-nucleotide long non-coding RNA is filed under the name Homo sapiens (human). RNAcentral describes it as "hepatocellular carcinoma up-regulated long non- coding RNA". Lineage: Eukaryota; Metazoa; Chordata; Mammalia; Primates; Hominidae. The record is from RNAcentral.